This 253-nucleotide ribosomal RNA is filed under the name uncultured bacterium. RNAcentral describes it as "partial 16S ribosomal RNA". It matches the Rfam family "Bacterial small subunit ribosomal RNA", at positions 524 to 776 of the family's 1533-position model. The record is from RNAcentral.
GACAGAGGUGGCAAGCGUUGUUCGGAUUUACUGGGCGUAAAGAGUGCGUAGGUGGUGAGGUAAGACCUGUGGGAAAGCCCUGGGCUUAACCCAGGAAGGUCGCAAGUGACUGCCUUGCUUGAGGACGGGAGAGGAGAGCGGAAUUCCCGGUGUAGUGGUGAAAUGCGUAGAUAUCGGGAGGAACACCAGUGGCGAAGGCGGCUUCCUGGCCUGUUCUUGACGCUGAGGCGCGAAAGCUAGGGGAGCAAACGGG